Molecule: non-coding RNA, 125 nt
Organism: Triticum aestivum (bread wheat)
Lineage: Eukaryota; Viridiplantae; Streptophyta; Magnoliopsida; Poales; Poaceae
Source: Rfam
UAUGUACUCCCUCCGUCCGAAAAUACUUGUUACAGAAAUGCUUAAAAAUGGAUAUAUUCAGAACUAAAAUACGUCUAGAUACAUCCAUUCAUCCGACAAGUAUUUUCGGACGGAGGGAGUAUAUA